RNAcentral lists this small RNA (3899 nucleotides) under Rattus norvegicus (Norway rat). Its description in RNAcentral is "uncharacterized LOC102549893". The record is from RNAcentral. Lineage: Eukaryota; Metazoa; Chordata; Mammalia; Rodentia; Muridae.
AAGAACCAAAAAAAAAAAAAAAAAAAAAAAAAAAAAGCCUGAUCAUUGUCUUGGAGUGAAUGACACGGCUCCUCUGCCCUGUCUUCAGGCCCUGAGGUUCACAUUUCUUGUCUUCCGGCCCCGAGGUUUUCUUUUCUGACCCUCUCUCCCUGAGGCUUUUUUUAUCCACUGAGCUCUUCCUUUGUAGCUUCAGUUCAGUUUGGGUUCUUCUCUCCACCUUUUCCUGCCUCUUCACUGAACUCUGUGUUCACACCCUGAGUUGACCUCUUUAUUUAAUUUAUCGGUUUGUCUGUGUUUUCUUGAGCUCCAGUCAGGCUAUCCAGUCCUCCUUUUUCAGCUCACGCCAAGCGUUUCUGUGUAUUUUCUUUGAAUUCUUUGAACACUUCCGGCGUGUUGAUAAUUGUUCUUUUUUACGUUCUGCGUCUUGAAUUUCGUCGAAGUUGUUUUACUCAGCAGAAUGUCACCGUCUGUACUGCUGAUUGGAUCGGGGCCAGGUUGCCAGCCACGGGUAAUGAGGACACUUACAAAGCCCUAGGAAAGGUCUGCAUGGAAUGACCUGGGGCUUCACACCAAAUACGUGAGUGCUCCAUCUUGAAAAUAGACCAUCGGUCCCAGUCAAGCCUUGGGUGACCCAAGCCUUGGGUGACCGAGGUCUGAUGAGACAGACCCUCAGCACCCUGCGUGACCUGGGGCGGAGUUCUGCAGCGGGGUUGCUACUGAACGUUCACUCAAAGGUGCAGAGAGGUGAUAUACAGUGCUGUGCUACAGUGAGGGGUUUUCGGGGUAAACGUACGGAGCAGCGAUGCACCGUGGUAUAAGGCAAGAGACUGCACCUACUCCCACCAAAUUCAGGGGCUGGAGGUGUCUAUGCACCAACACCGCAUGUCACCGGAGAAAGGCUGUUCGCACGGCUUGUCCCCCAGCCCUUCCUUGUGAGUAUCAAGGGCUCCCGUGGUCUUUGUCCUUUAGACAAAGAGGGACAGGGGCCCUGGGUACCAAAAAGGUAAACUGAGGGCUGAAUGGAGGGAUGCCCACAACCGAACUCACUUCUACACCCCACACCUGACCCUUGCCCAGGCAAGCUGGGACUGCCUCUCUAUCUUCAGGGCUGUUCCUCUAGGACGCUGUCCCCGGAAGAGGAAGAGGUAGAGGAAGAGGAAGAGGACCUCUGGUUCAACAAUGGCGGCUGUCUGCGAAGCUCCCUUAGCCGGGUGUGGGUGCCUCAUGGAUGUCGGUAGUGAGAUCUGGAUGCUGUUCAUAAACUCGUGACCGAGUUUACUGGUUAGACCUCCUUACAGGGAGGUCUCAAGGUCCCUGUGGUAACUCCCUGAAGGAUGCUGAUGUCCUCCACCUCCAUUCAGCCUUGUGAAUUCUUCCCCACAACCCCCUUUGCCUGAUGAGCAGCCCAGCUGGGUGAAAGUUCAGGAAAGGCAGUUCAAGUGUGACAGCUUCUGGACAUGUCCUCUUGACCUUCUUGGGGCUCCUGUCACUGGUUUCCCUAUCCAGUGGUAGCACAGGCUAUGCUGUGCUGGUUUCUUUAUUCAGUGGUAGCACAGGCUAUGCUGUGUUUUCUGGCAGGUGCUCCUUUGCUAAGCACAGCCCCUCCUUGGAAGGGCACAUAGCAUCUCUGGGGUGGGGGAAGCAUCCGGGUUAUAGUCUUAUGGGAAUCCCAUAGUGUCUCACUGUGUAGUCCAGGCUGGUCUUGAACUUUUUGUCCUCUUGCCUCAGCCUUUCAGGCACUGGGAGCAGAGGCAGGCAACACCAUGACUUGGUUGGAAUCUCAGAUCUUAACCACUGACUCCUGGGCCCUUCUCGCUUUGGUCUGAGGUGGGAAGAACAUGCACUCUGUUGGGAGAAAUCAUCUCUCACAUCCAGCACAGCGUUCCCAUUGGUGCCUCCCACACACCCACUCAGCAACUCUAAAACACAAAUGCUUUCCAAAGGGCUGGGCCAUGGCAUAAAAUCUUUCCUUCUUUCUUGAUGUCAACAGUGGGGGAUGGGGUAGGGGUGGGGUGUAAGACACAGAGCUUAAUGCAAAACCAAGUCAGGGAAAGGGAAGGGUGGGGACCGGUGGCUUCUGGGGCAUAGACUGCAGCAGGUGCUGAGGCUUCCCUGAAAGGAUGAAUGGCUGUUUUCAAGCGAGGGCAAAGGCACCCAGGCAUCGGGUCAACAGAGUAUUCCCCACCUCUGUGCUCCCGGGAGAGGGGCCUUACUUCCUCAUCAGUAGUCAUUCCCUCCCCACAAAGUCGGGGGCUGUAUCUCACUGUCUGGACUUCCUUACUUGGGCACCAAUUGGCUGUCAUUCCAUUUAUUUUUCUCAACCCAAGACUUUCCCCAUGUGCCGUCCCUUCCACAGGAAGGCUAAACAGACUCUGAUUCCUUCCCUUCUCCCUUUCUUCUUGUGUCCAAAUAUUCCUGCACAUACUACAGAGGUCAUAAAAACAGAUCAAUGAAAAGAAGGACCCAAUAAUUCUAAGGCUUGAUUCAGGGACGGAGGUGGGGAGGGAAUCUGCUCAAUAAAAUGAAAGAGAAUUUAAAAGUCUCACGAACAAGGCCCAGCAUGGGGUCCCUGAUCAAAGGGCCAGGGAUGGAUGCUCCAGGCUCGGGGAGAGAUGGGCUCCCAGGGCUUGGUCUCCUCCCUGUCUACUUUCCACCACACAUACUAACCUUUGUCUGUCUGUCUCUCCCCUCUCCCCUCUCCUUUUCUCCUCAGAUCACCAGCUGACUGCUGAUAAGGGAGGCUGAGGGGGAGAAGGUGCGGACGGACUGCUCACCGAUGUCCUCAGUGGUCCCGUUUGCUAAGGAUGCGGGGAACACAGGCAUUCUUGGGGCUGUGACUCAGCAAACUUGAAUGUUUCUUAGAAAUGAAGACCAGAAGGUAAGUUUUUAGUUACUUUGUUUUAUGGGGGAGGAGUGUGAGGGAGAGACCAGCCUGCAUGUUUCUUAGAAGACCAGAAGGUAAGUUUUUGGUUACUUUGUUCUAUUGGGGGAGGAGCAUGAGAGAGAGACAGGCCCUGUCUAGGCAGAUGCGAAAUCUACCAAGGUUUAAGAGGUGACACAGCUUUGUCCAGAUGCUCUUGGUUCUGGACAGUCAAUGCCAGUUUUCAGUGCCAGGUCUCCUGGGCCAGGGUGGGUUUUAGAGCCUUCCAGAGGCCCACUUAUCAAGCAACCAAGCUCUUUCCCGGCAGCCCUAACAUGGAGUUAACCCUCUAAGAGACCCAGGGCAGCCUCUAUGAGCCAGCCAGAAUCUGCUCCACACCCCCCGAACUUUAUUACCCCCUCUCCCCAAAUUUAUAGCUGUGUGUCUGGCCCCAGCACCCACAAGCAGCUUAGAAAUUCCUUCUCAUCAGCUGAGAGGAUCUCCCAGGUUCCUUCCUCCGGCAGGUGGCUGAGAGGCAACAUCAUUUAUUUGCCAUUUAAAAUGCAGACAUGUCAUUAAAGAAUGUGUUCCGAUGGCUGCGAAGUCCAUCAGCAAUGAACGGGCACUGAUAACAAAGGUCUCAGGGCAGAAGACAGCUGAGGGUCUCCGUGAGAAAGCGAGCCAUCACUCAUUCCUCUUUGUGAGUUUAAGGUCCAUGCCUGUUUGCAUUGACUUACAUUUUUUGCUCAAUGCUUAUUUUCUGAUGGUCCUGCCCAGUUCUUCAAUGAUAAAGAUGUGCUUCAAGGGGGAGCCCUUCUAUGGUGGUUUGAAGAGGAGUGCUCCCAUAGAUUUGUGUGUUUGAAUGCUUGGCCCACACUCUUAAGAGGCGUGGCCUUGUUGGAGGAAGUGUGUCACUACAGGGGUGGGCUUUGAGGUUUCCUAUGACCAAGCCCAGUGUGGUACACAGUAUCCUUCUGCUGAACAAGAUGUAGAACUCUCAGCUCCUUCCCUAGCACCAUGUCUGCUUUUGUGCCACUAU